UCGACUCGGAUAAGUUUCAGAGUCGGCUCAUGAGGGGGAGUCGACUCGCACACAGAUGGGAGUCGACUCGAGGUCGAUGGCAACAUAGGGGGAGUCGACUCGCGCAUAUUUUGGAGUCGACUCGAGGUCGAGUCGACUCGCGACUUACUGGAGUCGACUCGCGGUCGGGAAUCCGAUGUUUUAACCCUAAUCGAAAAGUUUAAUCAACACUUCUAUUCAUCGCCUCC
Molecule: long non-coding RNA, 227 nt
Filed under: Phoenix dactylifera (date palm)
Lineage: Eukaryota; Viridiplantae; Streptophyta; Magnoliopsida; Arecales; Arecaceae
Description: long non-coding RNA (PDAC_LNC011252)
Source: RNAcentral